CGGCCAAAGUCUGGAUCAUUAUAUGUGCAUGUAAUUUCUUUGUGCAUAUUAUGUAUUUGCUGUAAAGCACUUUGAGCUGCAUUUUUUGCAUGAAAGGUGCUAUAUAAAUAAAGUUUUAUUAUUAUUAUUAUUAUUAUUAUUAGUCCAAUGAGGGGCUUCCAGCCAUAGAGACCUCGAGAACCAGCCUUGGUGUGGGUGAUAACUGGGCUGUUUUAAGGUGAAAGAAGAGUUGAAAUGAACAGAACCAGCCUUGGUGUGGGUGAUAACUGGGCUGUUUUAAGGUGAAAGAAGAGUUGAAAUGAACAGAACCAGCCUUGGUGUGGGUGAUUACUGGGCUGUUUUAAGGUUAAAGAAGAGUUGAAAUGAACAGAGCGUGCAGGGAGGUGAAACAUCAGUUAUGCCAUUUCCAACAAUGUGAUUGGCUCUUUAUAAUACAGGGCAGGGCUUCCUGUUUCAAAUCCGCCAUGCAAUACGGAUUCCUUCCUAUUUCCUCCAUUUUUUUUACCAUCAGUGAUUUGUCUCCUCUUAUAACUCUGCUCUUCUGGCACCGAAGUCUUAACAGUUCCAAAGGCC
This is a long non-coding RNA of Clupea harengus (Atlantic herring), 573 nucleotides long. The record is from Ensembl. NCBI's taxonomy places the organism in Eukaryota, Metazoa, Chordata, Actinopteri, Clupeiformes, Clupeidae.